AGUGACUCAUUCCUUUGCCUCAAGGAGUCCUGCUAAUCCUUGGGUCAGUCCCAUGGCUAGUUUCAUAUUACAGAUGAAGAAAUGGAGGCCUGAUAUGGUAAAUGCCAAGAGAACGGGAAACACAGGGACCGGCUCCCAGCUGGGGUGUGGCAGUAAGGGGGGGGUCCCUGGGGUGAGCAGGCUGGGAAGGAGAAAAGACCCAGAAGGAGCAAAGGCCCAGAAAUGUGGAUGACAUUGAGGAACCAGUGUCUCAACCUGGCUCGAGCCUUGGAGAUCAAGAAAUGGAUAACGUGUGUGCUGGUGAGGACGUGGGAGAGUUGUCACUCUCUUGUUUGUUGGUGGCAGUUCCAUCAGAACAGCUGCUGCGGCAGGAACUUUGGCAAAUCCUACAGCAGUCCCGCACGCACAUGUCUCCUGGCCCGGCAAUUCCACUUCUAGGAAUUCAUCCUUGGCUACAUUUGCUCACGUGCAAAAUGGUGUGUGAGCCAGGAUGUUGGCAGCAGCAUUGUUGGUGAGAACAAAUAACAGGAACAAGCUGCCCAUCACUAACAGGGAACUGGCCAAAGAGAAUAAGGAUACUUUCUGUAUAUAGAUAUCCACAGUUCUCUGUGGUAAAAUAAGAAAACUGUAAGUAUGAGCAGUAAGCUAUUAUUUGUGUAAAAAAGAAAAAGAAAAUGCAUAUGUGCUUAUGUGUUAUAGGCAGAGACUCUGAAAGAAUGCACAAGGAGCUGGGAAGAGCGGAUUCUUCAGGGAAUUUAUAUGGCUGCGAGAGAAGAGAAAGAGACUUUUCAUUGUAAAGCCCCUCCAUAGCUUUUGAAUUUGGUAAUGUGUGCAUGUAUACUAUAAAUAACAAAAUAGAAAAGGAGAACAAAAUGUAGGGAAAA
Loxodonta africana (African savanna elephant) is the source of this 884-nucleotide long non-coding RNA. RefSeq lists it as uncharacterized. The record is from RefSeq and is a predicted model, not a curated record. The transcript has 2 exons. Lineage: Eukaryota; Metazoa; Chordata; Mammalia; Proboscidea; Elephantidae.